AUCUAGAUACCUAGAUAUUAGCUAGCUGGUCCCAAGCCCAGAUAAAGGAGGAGGGUUCGAGGGCAAGGCUAGCAACCUACCCUCGGUAAAAAAAAUGUAAUUGCUCCUAGGACAAAGAGUCCUAAUAAUAAGAGAAAGAGAAAGAAAAAUAAUAAGAAGAAAUUGAACAUGUCUAUAUAGUAUCUGUAAAUAAUUUGAAAUAACGAUAUUAUAAUUUAAGUAGACAUUUUUGUUUUGAGGAUGGUGGUGGGUUGUUAAAGGGAUUGCGAGGAGUACAGUAAACGGGCAGGAAACUCUUUGACGAGGUCGUUUCCGGACGAGUCUGAUGUUUCUUGACUGUGAUCCCAAACGCUAUCGCAACAAUUGGAUAGCUCGAGCCCUUCCUUUCUAUCCUAGUCUUGCUGUGCGACCAUGAUAAGCUUCAGAAACAGCUCUUAAUGGUUUCCCUCGCGAUUACCAGUAUCUAUAUCUCCGAUUCAUCCCUUCUCGUCUCCUCUUCUCUUCCUAUUUCCUAUGUUACUCCUUCUGUACUAUUGUAUCAUCAUACGAAAGCUACGAAAUCGGGAACAUGGUUUUGCGAAUAUCGUCGAUGACUAUGACUACAUUAUGAUUCGCUAUUGUUAGAGAUACCGCAGAUAAAAUAACUAUUUCUAUUAUUGAUAAUAUUUAUUCCUUUCGUUUAUUAAUAGUAUACUUUGAGAAAACACUAAUUAUAUUUCAUAAAUAAUAAUAUCGACACAUUAGACAAUUUAAUACUAUAUAAUAUUCUAUAUAAUAAGAGGAAUUGUUAUUUAAUGAUCAUUAAAAUAUUGUAAGAUUUUCUUUCAGGAAUCUUUGUUGUUAAAAAGAUUCGUUUUAAGAUUUUUUUUUUUUCAAGCUUUCCAUUAUCCUUUCUAUACUAUAAAAUUUCACCAAUGGGAGCCAUUGUAAAACCUUCGCCAAGAGACUCGUUCGUAAACAACGAGAUUAUCGAAGUUCGAUGACAAUCUCUACGGCAAAUCGAGUUUUCUUCUUUCUCUUUCUCUUUCUAUUUCACUUCGUAUUCUUUACCUGUAGACUCUCAGUCUCUUUAAUUUCAAAAGGAAACUAACGUACGAACGUUUGGAUGGAAACUUUCGUUUUGUUGAAAUCCAAUAAGAAUUACUAAUUGGGAGUUUUCUCGUAUUAUAUAAGUUACAAUUGUAACGAAUUUUGUCAAUAUUUGAUUAUCAUCUACAACAUUAAAUUAUUUCGUUUAUAUUAUUGCGUGAAAUUUAAUGGUUCCAACGAUAAUCUACUUUAUAAAUUUUUUACGUUAAAGUUUAUACUAAUUGAUGAUACUAAAAGUUUUAGUUUCUUCGAUGGAUUUUGAUAUAUGUACAGAAAUAUAUGUUGUAAUAUAUCUUUGGGUAAACACAAUCUGUAGAAUCGGAUUAGACUUCGAAGCUGGAGUCCUCAAUCGCCAAACUAAACUGAGUUAAGCCCAGUAUUAGUAGCAAAGCCUCGUUUAUUAAUUCAAACCAAGUUAACCCUCCGUGUUUCUCCUUGCAACCUCGAAGAAAAUCAGCAGCGUGUGACGUUACUUUAGGUUAGUUACGGAAUAACUACAUCUUAAGAGUUAAUACCUGAAAAGGUGCGAUAGCUAUACUUGAGAAACGAUUGAUAACAUUUAUAUAAAGAUAAGACGGGAAGGAUCAUACGUCCGGGGAAUAGGUUGUAGCAAUUGGAGGGCAACCUCGUUACAGGAAGUUUCGCGUCCGAAAAAUGAAAUAAAGAUAGAAAAUAAAGAGGAGAAAAAGGAAAGGAUGGUUCGUACGAAGGAGAAGAAGAAGAAGAAGAAAGUCGCUAAGGGUGCAGCCUUAACUCCGUUGACUCGUCGCCAUGUUCGAUGGUUGAAGGCCUGAACCUAAAGAGGGUUCGAAAUGUUAGAUGGAAGAAGAAGGAAGGAAGAGCCUGGGUGUGCAACGGGCGUAGCGAGUGUUCCGCUCCCCGAUGGGAAAGGAGUUUGCAUAGCGGAAGUACCCUCGAAUCGAUUCAUCGAAAACAUCUAACCCUCUUGGAGACCUCCAUCUCAAACUCAAACUCUUCACCCCUCCUAUAACCCCUGGUCCUGGUACAGAGAAGGGAGUGUACUGUCUCCCUUGAUAAGAACGUUGGGAAAAGGAAGGAAGAGAUGGGUAGUGGUGGUUCGUUGUGUUAGUAGUCAAGAUGUAGAUGGUAGGACAAGGGGUUCCAGAGGUGACGCUAGGGUAUCCUCAGACGCAACGCGAAUAGAAAGUACUUUCCUAGUCCUUAGACCUUUUUACUACUACUACUACUACUACUACUACUACUAUCCCUUUUUAUCUCUCUCUCUCUCUCUUCUUCAAUUUCUGUAAACCACAAGUCACGCGAAUUCGCCGCAAGGGCCGAAUCAACUAAGCCUUAGACCUCUUCUUGCUGGAAGUCUUUCCCGUAGAAAUAAAGAAAAUACGAAAUAUUAAAUUACUUCCUUCGAUCGUC
Molecule: long non-coding RNA, 2481 nt
Filed under: Polistes dominula (European paper wasp)
Lineage: Eukaryota; Metazoa; Arthropoda; Insecta; Hymenoptera; Vespidae
Description: uncharacterized LOC107069378
Source: RNAcentral